Molecule: RNA transcript, 1489 nt
Organism: Capsicum annuum
Lineage: Eukaryota; Viridiplantae; Streptophyta; Magnoliopsida; Solanales; Solanaceae
Exons: 3
Source: RefSeq, a predicted model, not a curated record
UUUUUUCAGUUUUGAGAAAAUAACAAAAUCGGUAUAUAAAUCAUCAAUACUUGUGCUGGAAACCAAAAUAUGAGUGUUACAUCUAAGGACCAAAAAACAACUACCAUGCUUCUCUUACUAGGUCUAAAAUUUCUAGAAUUGAAUCUUGAUCAUUUAUAAUUCACACCAAAAACUAAAGAGAAGAAUACAUCUUGAUCUUUUACAAAGGACUGCAUAUAUCUUGAAAACAUCUUGAGUGUCUCUCAUUCCAAAUUGUCCAUCAAAUAGUUGUUGGGAUAAGACUUUUGAGGUUGAGGACUAGAUCUCAUUGUUGGCUGAUGACUUUAUAGUGUAAAGAUAGUUGGUUGAUUAUCUCUACAUUCUGUCCACAUAAAUAGCAUCUUGAGCAAAGUUGAAUUCCAUGCUUCCUUAAUGUUAUCUUGAUUAAUGACCACUUUAAUUAUCAACCAGGUAUCUCUCCGGACAAGCCUAUAGUUGCCUCUUGUGGCACUGGUGUAACUACUUGCAUACUUGUCUUGGGCCUCCAUCGACUAGGGAAGACUGAGAUUGUAGUCUAUGGUGGUUCAUGGACAGAAUGGGCAUCACAUUCAUAUACACCUAUCCCCACGUCUGAAACAUGAAGACGUUUGUAGGGGUAAGGUCUGCAUGUUUUUAUGGGUGAACAAUGACGACUGUGAAUCUAGAUCUAGUUUUCUUAAAUCUGUGAGUUCCACUGUAUUGCUUUUUUGUUAAUCAAGACAUUUUAUACAGCAUCGGUAUAAAUUUUACCCUUAUCCCUUUUAUCCUUAAAAAAAUUGUAUUGUUUUUUUAUUAUCUUUUUUUUGGUUCCAUUUGUAUGUUGAAUGUUAAAGGGAUAAGGGUAAAAAAUAUACCAAUGUUGUAUGAAAUGUCUUAAUUUACCUCCAUUAUAUUUUGGAUCCAUUGAUACCCUCUCUGCAAGCAAAUUGUAUCAUAUUUUCUGUUGAUGAUAAUGAACUCUAGUGUGGACUGAAAAGCUUUGAACCUUGUCAAAAUCUUGACACAGUGGAUUCCAUGUGUCAAAAUAUUUUCUAAAGAUAACCAUCUACUUUUGAUUAUGUUUUAAAAUAAACUUCCAUUAUAAUCAUGUUUACAUUUGCCUUUCUUUUGAGUAUCAAAUUCAAAAACUGGUAAGGGAAAAAAAAAAGAAAAAGGAAAGGAUUCAUUGGGAUUUUAAGGAAGAUUAUAGGAGUGGAUUUUUUUUGGUAACCGUGGUGUCCGGGCCAGCUUGCGUGCACCUUGACUAAUUCCACGGGAUAUCUUCUACCUCCCAUCAACAACAGCUACCAGGUAAUCCUGUUCUAAUCCUGACCACCAAGGCUAGAACUGAUGGGAAGAAAUCACCUAGUGUUAUGUCUGUUGGGAAUUGAACUUGAGACCUCAUGCUGCUCAACCCAACUUCAUUGAACCACUAGACCACAUCCUUGGUUGCAAGAGGAGUGGAUUUUUUUUUGGUUAGUUAUAGCAAAAA